CACGGGAACAUCAUAUAAGGAUCCCACAUUUUUUUGAAAACAUUGUCGUAACAUACUCAUUGACAGAUUUUAAAUCAUAUUUUCGAGUGGAAAAGAACAUUUGAACAACUAGUACAAACACUUGGGCCACGUCUGAAUGCGCACGACUCUGAAAACAUGCCUGCAAAUAAGCAAAUAGCUAUUGCCUUAUGGUUCUUUGGUAAUCAGGAAGUAUAUAGUUUUGUUUUGUUUUGUUUUCAAUGGCAAAUAGAUUUGAAAUAUCUAAGGAAUCCGUUUGGAGAAUUGUAUUUUAAGUAGCAAUGUUAUUAACUGAUGAUGUUGGUACAUAUAUUAAAUGGCCUGGAUCUCACGAAAUAAUAAAGAUAGAAAGAGAAUUUCAUAAAAUGAAUGGUUUUCCUGGCAUCAUUGGAUCAAUCGAUGGUUCCCACAUAGUAAUAAGUGCACCAACAGAAAAUGGCGACAAUUAUAUUAACCGUAAAGGUUACCAUUCUAUAGUAUUACAAGGGAUUUGCGAUUAUAAGUUACGAUUUAUAGAUGUAUUUACAGGAAUGUGUGGUAGCGUUCAUGAUGCAAGAAUCUAGCGUUUAAGCGAUAUCAAACAACUAAUAACGCAAAAUGAAAAUAGAUAUUUUCAAAAUAUGUAUCAUAUUUUGGCUGAUUCAGCAUACCCCUUAUCUCAUUAUAUGCUAACUCCUUAUCAAGAUAAUGGUCAUUUAAAUAAUUUACAAAAUAACUUCAACACAAAAUUGUCAAGAACGCGUGUAGUUAUUGAACGUGCUUUUGGUAUGUUGAAAGGAAGAUUUCGAAAAUUGAAAUAUAUUUAUAUGUAUAAUACAGAAAUGAUACUUUUGGUUAUACUUACUUGUUGUAUUUUACAUAUGUAUAGAGAAUGAAGACGCACAUAUGGAAUUUGAUGCAAUAGAUAUGGAAGAUAAUAAUGAUAUUGCAUUAAUGGACGGAAUAGAGAAAAGAGAUUUCAUUUCUACUUUAUUGUAAGAAUAUUGUAAUAGAUAAUGCAUGAUUAAAAUUAUAUAUUUUUAUGGAUUACACAUAUUAAUUAUGAAGAAAACGUUAAAUAAAAUGUUCUAUGCAACUUCAA
Long non-coding RNA from Odontomachus brunneus, 1099 nucleotides. RefSeq lists it as uncharacterized. The record is from RefSeq and is a predicted model, not a curated record. The transcript is spliced from 3 exons. Lineage: Eukaryota; Metazoa; Arthropoda; Insecta; Hymenoptera; Formicidae.